AGUGAACGCUGGCGGUAGGCCUAACACAUGCAAGUCGAACGGCAGCACAGUAAGAGCUUGCUCUUACGGGUGGCGAGUGGCGGACGGGUGAGGAAUACAUCGGAAUCUACUUUUUCGUGGGGGAUAACGUAGGGAAACUUACGCUAAUACCGCAUACGACCUACGGGUGAAAGCAGGGGAUCUUCGGACCUUGCGCGAUUGAAUGCGCCGAUGUCGGAUUAGCUAGUUGGCGGGGUAAAGGCCCACCAAGGCGACGAUCCGUAGCUGGUCUGAGAGGAUGAUCAGCCACACUGGAACUGAGACACGGGCCAGACUCCUACGGGAGGCAGCAGUGGGGAAUAUUGGACAAUGGGCGCAAGCCUGAUCCAGCCAUACCGCGUGGGUGAAGAAGGCCUUCGGGUUGUAAAGCCCUUUUGUUGGGAAAGAAAAGCAGCAGGUUAAUACCCCGCUGUUCUGACGGUACCCAAAGAAUAAGCACCGGCUAACUUCGUG
This 492-nucleotide ribosomal RNA is filed under the name uncultured bacterium. Its description in RNAcentral is "partial 16S ribosomal RNA". It matches the Rfam family "Bacterial small subunit ribosomal RNA", at positions 29 to 507 of the family's 1533-position model. The record is from RNAcentral.